AGAGUUUGAUCCUGGCUCAGAACGAACGCUGGCGGCAUGCCUAACACAUGCAAGUCGAACGAGACCUUCGGGUCUAGUGGCGCACGGGUGCGUAACGCGUGGGAAUCUGCCCUUGGGUUCGGAAUAACAGCUAGAAAUGGCUGCUAAUACCGAAUAAUGACGUAAGUCCAAAGAUUUAUCGCCCAAGGAUGAGCCCGCGUAGGAUUAGCUAGUUGGUGAGGUAAAAGCUCACCAAGGCGACGAUCCUUAGCUGGUCUGAGAGGAUGAUCAGCCACACUGGGACUGAGACACGGCCCAGACUCCUACGGGAGGCAGCAGUGGGGAAUAUUGGAUAAUGGGCGAAAGCCUGAUCCAGCAAUGCCGCGU
Molecule: ribosomal RNA, 366 nt
Filed under: uncultured bacterium
Lineage: Bacteria
Description: bacterial SSU rRNA
Rfam family: Bacterial small subunit ribosomal RNA
Source: RNAcentral